CCUACGGGUGGCUGCAGUGGGGAAUAUUGCACAAUGGGGAAACCCUGAUGCAGCGACGCCGCGUUAGUGAAGAAGCGUUUCGGCGCGUAAAGCUCUGUCAGCGGGGAAGAAACACGGUUCGCGAGAGCCGCGGACGGUACCCGACCAAGAAGCCCCGGCUAACUACGUGCCAGCAGCCGCGGUAAUACGGAGGAUGCGAGCGUUAUCCGGAUUUAUUGGGUUUAAAGGGUGCGUAGGCGGAAUAUCAAGUCAGCGGUAAAAAUUCGGGGCUCAACCCCGUCGUGCCGUUGAAACUGAUGUUCUUGAGUGGGCGAGAAGUAUGCGGAAUGCGUGGUGUAGCGGUGAAAUGCAUAGAUAUCACGCAGAACUCCGAUUGCGAAGGCAGCAUACCGGCGCCCAACUGACGCUGAAGCACGAAAGCGUGGGUAUCGAACAGGAUUAGAUACCCGAGUAGUC
RNAcentral lists this ribosomal RNA (456 nucleotides) under uncultured bacterium. Its description in RNAcentral is "partial 16S ribosomal RNA". It matches the Rfam family "Bacterial small subunit ribosomal RNA", at positions 338 to 795 of the family's 1533-position model. The record is from RNAcentral.